Long non-coding RNA from Globicephala melas (long-finned pilot whale), 663 nucleotides. RefSeq lists it as uncharacterized. Lineage: Eukaryota; Metazoa; Chordata; Mammalia; Artiodactyla; Delphinidae. The record is from RefSeq and is a predicted model, not a curated record.
AGCCCCGCGCGCUCCCCCAGGCCCUGCCCCUCACGGCCCCGCCUACCUGAGAAGCCCAGGUCCAGCAGCACCGCGCGGCGACGGUCGCGGACGCUGCUGAUCUGCUGGAAGCGCACGUCGAGCAGCAGGAACGCGGCGCAGGCGAAGAAGGCCCCAAGGCCGAGCGCGACGCCGAAGCGGCAGGCACCCGCGUUGCCGUUGAAGACGCAGCGCAGCUCCGGGCCGCUGUCGGCGUUCACGUAGCCCUCGUUGACUAUGGGCCCGAAGACGGCGAUGGAGAACACCUGUGGGCGGUGGGAGCGCUCAAGGCCCUGCGAUGGCCCCUUCCUGGUCGAGGCCCGAGGUCUCCUAGCCCACCCCCCAGCUCCUAGAGACUUAGUCAAGAGUGAAACCAAGGUGCAAGAUAUGGACACGUACCCACAGGGGUCACGGGUUCGAGCCCUGGUCUGGGAAGAUCCCACAUGCCACGGAGCAACUAAGCCUGCGAGCCACAACUACUGAAGCCCGUGUGCCUGGAGCCCGUGCUCCACAAGAGAAGCCACUGCAAUGAGAAGCCCACGCACUGCAAUGAAGAAUAGCCCCCGCUCACCACAACUAAAAGAAAGCCUGUGCACAGCGAGGACCCAACGCAGCCGUAGAUAAAUAAAAAAUAAAUAAAUAAAU